This 319-nucleotide long non-coding RNA is filed under the name Pan troglodytes (chimpanzee). RNAcentral describes it as "long non-coding RNA NONPTRT008998". Lineage: Eukaryota; Metazoa; Chordata; Mammalia; Primates; Hominidae. The record is from RNAcentral.
AAGGGGAGAGAGAGUGUAUUCACAUAACUUUUAUUACAGUGUAUUGUUCUAUUUUAUUAUUAGUUAUUGUUGUUAAGCUCUUACUGUACCUAAUUUAUGAAUUAAAUUUUAUCACUGGCAUAUAUGUAUAGAAAAAAACAUUCUAUAUAGAGUUUUAUACCAUCCCCAGUUUCAGGCAUCCACUGGGGGUCUUAGAACAUAUUCUUUGCAGGUGGGAGAAUUCCUGUCCUGGAAAGCAGUAGGAUUCCUGCAGAUUUCGCUUUUCAGAUCUGUUAGCCUGGAGAAGUUAUCCGUUUUGGGCUCAUUCUUUCCCACUUCU